GAUAUGAACUCUCCGAAAAAAUUACGCUGUUAUCCCUAAGGUAAGUUAAUCAUAUAAUCAAAAAUUUUGGAUCAAAAAAACAUAAAUUAAUGAAAAAAAAAUUAAAAGUUAAAUAAAUUUUAAUGUCACCCCAACAAAACUUUAUAUUCUAAAAAAUUAUUAAAUAAACAAAAAAUAAUAAUUAAUAAAUAAAGUAAACUUCUAUAGGGUCUUCUCGUCCUAUAAAAAAAUUUUAGCUUUUUAACUAAAAAAUUAAAUUCAAAAUAAUUAAAAAAAGAAAGUUUAUUUUUCAUCAAACCAUUCAUACUAGCCUUCAAUUAAAAGACAAAUGAUUAUGCUACCUUCGUACAGUUAAAAUACCGCAGCCUUUUAAUUCAUAAAAAUCAAUGGGCAGGUCAGAUCUUAAAUUAAAAUCAAAAGACC
This 423-nucleotide ribosomal RNA is filed under the name Gerris nepalensis. RNAcentral's name for it is "partial 16S ribosomal RNA". Lineage: Eukaryota; Metazoa; Arthropoda; Insecta; Hemiptera; Gerridae. The record is from RNAcentral.